Long non-coding RNA from Populus euphratica (Euphrates poplar), 1109 nucleotides. RefSeq lists it as uncharacterized. The record is from RefSeq and is a predicted model, not a curated record. The transcript is spliced from 2 exons. NCBI's taxonomy places the organism in Eukaryota, Viridiplantae, Streptophyta, Magnoliopsida, Malpighiales, Salicaceae.
GAACGGCAAUCACUUUCUACUAUCUAGAAUCAGCAUACGUGCUUCUUCCCUGUUGCAUUCUUAGCCCUCCGGAGUUUCUCAUUGCAUGGCUUAUCAGCAAAAGGGGAAAAAAAAGAAAAGAAAAGAAAGAACAUGAGUUUGGACAUUAAUUUUCAUAUUUUGAUUGAAGGAUCACAUCAACCACCCAAUCAAACACAAUUUGUACUUUCCCAUUAACUGAUUAGAUAAUUUAAUCAGUUUGGAUGAUCCCAAAUACCCUAGCUUAGAUGUUGCCUGAAAGUAUUUGUUCUCUGAAACAAGUAGCGCCAUGAAAGACAAGAAAAUUCCUUAAACUGGUGUUUUCAAGUAAUGAUUUGUUAUGCGUUCAUGUGUUGAAUAUAUGCUCAUUUGGUUAAUUCUUGGAUAGUGAAUCCUCAACAACAUUACAAGUAAACACACAUUUAUUUCUCUACUUAGUUAUCAACAGCACGGCAUAAGUUUUUCAAUAUCAAUAUUUUUUUUUGCUUAAAAAUGUAAACUUUACGCGAUUGCCUUGGCAACUGUAAACAAAAUCAAAGCAGGUGAAGGCUACAGACAUGUUUACUUUAUUUCUACACUGACCUACGUGAUUAGGUCUGUGGUAAAAUAUGCAACAGAGAAGAGAAGCAGCAGCUGAAGAUAUAUUGCGAGAGACAAUGGCACACUGGGUUGUUUACCUCUAUUCAGUAACUCGAUAACAAACACAUCAUAGAAUUUGAAGAAAGAGAUUGAUUACUCGGAGAAGGUAGCACAUCGCGAAAUUAAGAUGUAAAGUUUACCAGCAGGCAGCAGAUCCUUAUCUUAAAUAUUCUGUUAGAUCAUCAGAACCUUGCAACUGCUCAAAAGGUCAGUUAAUUCCUGUUUUUCUCUCCAUCUCUGGUGUUUUAACAUUUAACAAUAGAGUUCUCUUCCAAGUCUGAUGGAUUUUCAGCUCUAAAUCUUGAGUGUAUUUUUAUUUCAUGAUUUUUGCGUUGGAUUGUUUGACUUUUCAGUUUUUGAUGAGGGUGAUAUAGGUUUAUUAACAAUCACUUUAUUUUUCUUUUUAUACUUUUGUUGAUUAGUGACUGGAUUAUUUUUUAUUUAUUGGAAAA